Molecule: non-coding RNA, 70 nt
Organism: Dipodomys ordii (Ord's kangaroo rat)
Lineage: Eukaryota; Metazoa; Chordata; Mammalia; Rodentia; Heteromyidae
Source: Rfam
GGAAAUGUGGCUUAGUGGUAGAGUGCUUGCCUAGCAUGCAUGAAGCCCUGGGUUCAAGUUCUCAGUACCA